Molecule: ribosomal RNA, 908 nt
Filed under: uncultured Bacteroidota bacterium
Lineage: Bacteria; Pseudomonadati; Bacteroidota
Description: bacterial SSU rRNA
Rfam family: Bacterial small subunit ribosomal RNA
Source: RNAcentral
GGAUCCAGACUUUGAUUCUGGCUCAGGAUGAACGCUAGCUACAGGCUUAACACAUGCAAGUCGAGGGGAAACGAUAGAGAAAGCCUGCUUUUUCUAGGCGUCGACCGGCGCACGGGUGAGUAACGCGUAUCCAACCUGCCCAUCACUUGGGAAUAACCUUGCGAAAGUAAGACUAAUACCCAAUGAUAUCUCAAGAAGACACCUGAAUGAGAUUAAAGAUUUAUCGGUGAUGGAUGGGGAUGCGUCUGAUUAGCUUGUUGGCGGGGUAACGGCCCACCAAGGCGACGAUCAGUAGGGGUUCUGAGAGGAAGGUCCCCCACAUUGGAACUGAGACACGGUCCAAACUCCUACGGGAGGCAGCAGUGAGGAAUAUUGGUCAAUGGGCGAGAGCCUGAACCAGCCAAGUAGCGUGCAGGAAGACGGCCCUAUGGGUUGUAAACUGCUUUUAUAAGGGAAUAAAGUGAGUCUCGUGAGACUUUUUGCAUGUACCUUAUGAAUAAGGACCGGCUAAUUCCGUGCCAGCAGCCGCGGUAAUACGGAAGGUCCGGGCGUUAUCCGGAUUUAUUGGGUUUAAAGGGAGCGUAGGCCGGAGAUUAAGCGUGUUGUGAAAUGUAGACGCUCAACGUCUGCACUGCAGCGCGAACUGGUUUCCUUGAGUACGCACAAAGUGGGCGGAAUUCGUGGUGUAGCGGUGAAAUGCUUAGAUAUCACGAAGAACUCCGAUUGCGAAGGCAGCUCACUGGAGCGCAACUGACGCUGAAGCUCGAAAGUGCGGGUAUCGAACAGGAUUAGAUACCCUGGUAGUCCGCACGGUAAACGAUGGAUGCCCGCUGUUGGUCUGAAUAGGUCAGCGGCCAAGCGAAAGCAUUAAGCAUCCCACCUGGGGAGUACGCCGGCAACGGUGCAAC